CAAAACAUAGCUUAACCCUAAAGCAUCUAGCUUACACCUAGAAGAUAUCAUGUAAAAUGAUUGCUUUGAG
Molecule: transfer RNA, 70 nt
Filed under: Erophylla sezekorni
Lineage: Eukaryota; Metazoa; Chordata; Mammalia; Chiroptera; Phyllostomidae
Description: tRNA-Val
Rfam family: tRNA
About the family: Transfer RNA (tRNA) molecules are approximately 80 nucleotides in length. Their secondary structure includes four short double-helical elements and three loops (D, anti-codon, and T loops).
Source: RNAcentral